Molecule: ribosomal RNA, 768 nt
Filed under: uncultured marine bacterium
Lineage: Bacteria
Description: bacterial SSU rRNA
Rfam family: Bacterial small subunit ribosomal RNA
Source: RNAcentral
AAGUAGCAAUACUUAGUGGCGAACGGGUGAGCAUAAUGUGGGUAUCUGCCCUCUGGUUUGGAAUAACACGAGGAAACUUGUGCUAAUACCGGAUAAGCCUUCACAGGGAAAGCUUUAGCGCCAAAGGAUGAGCCCGCACUUGAUUAGCUAGUUGGUAAGGUAAUGGCUUACCAAGGCUACGAUCAAUAGCUGAUCUGAGAGGAUGAUCAGCCACAUUGGGACUGAGACACGGCCCAAACUUCUACGGAAGGCAGCAGUGGGGAGUCUUGCACAAUGGGGGAAACCCUGAUGCAGCGAUGCCGCGUGAGUGAAGAAGGCCCUUGGGUUGUAAAGCUCUUUCGUCGGGGAAGAAAAUGACUGUACCCGAAUAAGAAGGUCCGGCUAACUUCGUGCCAGCAGCCGCGGUAAUACGAAGGGACCUAGCGUAGUUCGGAAUUACUGGGCUUAAAGAGCACGUAGGUGGUUAAGAAAGUUGGUGGUGAAAUCCCAAGGCUUAACCUUGGAACUGCCACCAAAACUUUUUAACUAGAGUAUGAUUGAGGUAAGCGGAUUUUCUAGUGUAGAGGUGAAAUUCGUAGAUAUUAGAAAGAACACCAAUUGCGAAGGCAGCUUUCUGGAUCAUUACUGACACUGAGGUGCGAAAGCAUGGGUAGCGAAGAGGAUUAGAUACCCUCGUAGUCCAUGCCGUAAACGAUGUGUGCUAGACGUUGGGAAUUUAUUUUUCAGUGUCGCAGCUAAAGCGAUAAGCACACCGCCUGGGGAGUACGA